Molecule: long non-coding RNA, 1541 nt
Organism: Planococcus citri (citrus mealybug)
Lineage: Eukaryota; Metazoa; Arthropoda; Insecta; Hemiptera; Pseudococcidae
Exons: 2
Source: RefSeq, a predicted model, not a curated record
UUAGAAUUUUCGAAAAGUUCUCAAAAAUUGACCAAUAAAUCCGAUCAGGUACCUAACUAAAAUUCAAGUUCUGAGGAUCUCAGAAUUGCGUUUGUUCCAAAAAAUGUAAAUUUUCAUUAAAAAAAUUGAAUUUAAAAAAAAAACAAAAUGUUGAACUUAAUAAUAUAGAAGCUUGAAUUUGAAGUGUAGGUUUUUGUCAGAGGGGAAGGCAGGUGCAUAAAAAGUAGAAAAUUAUCGUAAAAAAAAUCAAUUUGAUCGUACUAUGUACAGUACAUCUAUCUAAUUUGGAUAACUCCAAAAAAAAAAAAAAAAAAAAAACAGAUUUGAAGAGGCUAAGUAAAUUAAAAUGUAAACACAUCAUAUUUUUUUAUCUGCAUCAAUCAACUCGAGUAAGUACAUAAAUACAUUUAAGAUUAAGCACGAGUUGAAAUAAGAAAACUGACGCUAAUUUACUUCAAAAUCUCAUUAUUCAAAUCAUUAAAUAUAAAUACGCUGAUAAAGAUCAUAAUUAAUUUAUCAAUUCAAAAAUCUGUGUGCAAGUACAUACGAUUUGGAUACUAAUUUUUGUACUUCAGUUUCAUUUGUAUACCGUGCCUUUUACUCAACAAAAUUUCAUAGUGACCUGUACUUCUUCUUUUCUUUUAGACUGCCUAAUUAAAUUUUGAAGCAAACAUGAAUCUUUUCUACAUUAUUUGGACAGUAAUUCUCGCUUCCAACUGCAAUAGUCAAGAUAAUCCCUCGAAUCUUAGUUCAAAUAUUAUGCCUGAAGGUGCGAUUCAUUUCGAUACGUUUUUGUACGUUCCGUCUAGAGAAGCAAACUACAUUUGGACUAUUCAUAAUUUCACUGCUAACGAGGCAGAAAAUACUUCCGGUUAUGAAAUUAGAUCACCCAAUUUCCGCGCGCCCGCGCCUACAAUUGAACAAUGGGAUUUGCAGUUGAUGAUUACACCAAACCUGAAGGUUUGUGAAGGAAAUAAAACGAUUCGUCUGCGUGGACAUAUAGAAGGCUACGGUAAAUUCAAUCGAGGGUUCGCAGAUAUGAAUAUUUCAUUUAUAAAUAAUAAAAAAGAAAGGUUACUAACAGUAAAUGGACGCAUCGAGAUCCGUUUCGGGAACUACCAGUACCUGAGGGAUGUUUGCAUGAAAGAUGAUUUCUUCAGAAAUCAAGUACUACAAAACGACACAUUAACGCUGUUAAUCAACAUUAGAUGGACAGAUCCACUUUCACACAAGGCAAUUCAACGACAUAAUGUUUCUUUACCGGCGUCAACGAGUACAUCCAAGACUACCACGAAGUCUAAGUCAGUGUUGGCAGCGUUCCUUGCGUUCUUCGGGAAAGAAUGGAUCACCCAAAAAACAUAGAUAUGAGGAAAAAAAAAUCAAAUCUGCGAAUUCUUGCUUCAUUCAAUCAUCCUAAGCAGUUUGGGAACCAAUAAAUAAACAAAGACAUCUCACUAUAUUCCAGCUUUUAUUUUUACCCCUGGCUUAUAUCUCUUUGCUUUCUAAUGCUAUGUAUUUUUAAAUAUACAGACUUUAACUGA